GACGAACGCUGGCGGCGCGCCUAACACAUGCAAGUCGAACGGAGUCAAGAGGAGCUUGCUUUUCUUGACUUAGUGGCGAACGGGUGAGUAACGCGUGAGUAACCUGCCCUGGAGUGGGGGACAACAGUUGGAAACGACUGCUAAUACCGCAUAAGCCCACGGAUCUGCAUGGAUCUGCGGGAAAAGGAUUUAUUCGCUCUAGGAUGGACUCGCGUCCAAUUAGCUAGUUGGUGAGGUAAUGGCCCACCAAGGCGACGAUUGGUAGCCGGACUGAGAGGUUGAACGGCCACAUUGGGACUGAGACACGGCCCAGACUCCUACGGGAGGCAGCAGUGGGGGAUAUUGCACAAUGGGGGAAACCCUGAUGCAGCGACGCCGCGUGGAGGAAGAAGGUUUUCGGAUUGUAAACUCCUGUCGUUAGGGACGAUAAUGACGGUACCUAACAAGAAAGCACCAGCUAACUACGUG
Molecule: ribosomal RNA, 468 nt
Filed under: uncultured bacterium
Lineage: Bacteria
Description: partial 16S ribosomal RNA
Rfam family: Bacterial small subunit ribosomal RNA
Source: RNAcentral